RNAcentral lists this ribosomal RNA (253 nucleotides) under uncultured bacterium. RNAcentral's name for it is "partial 16S ribosomal RNA". It matches the Rfam family "Bacterial small subunit ribosomal RNA", at positions 524 to 776 of the family's 1533-position model. The record is from RNAcentral.
UACGGAGGGUGCAAGCGUUAUCCGGAUUCACUGGGUUUAAAGGGUGCGUAGGUGGGCAGGUAAGUCAGUGGUGAAAUCUCCGGGCUUAACCCGGGAACUGCCGUUGAUACUAUCUGUCUUGAAUAUAGUGGAGGUGAGCGGAAUAUGUCAUGUAGCGGUGAAAUGCUUAGAUAUGACAUAGAACACCAAUUGCGAAGGCAGCUCGCUACACUAUCAUUGACACUGAGGCACGAAAGCGUGGGGAUCAAACAGG